CUGAGUUAAAUAAUAACUGAGUGGACUUUAUUUUAAUUUGCCAUUGUUCGUGAAGACAGUCAUUAGUUUUAAAUGUGAUUAGACAACCCUCCACAGAAGCCUUUGGGAACAAAAUUAAAUUUUGUAGAGACAGGGAGUCUCACUUUGUUACCCAGGCUGGUCUCAAAUUACUGGGCUCAAGCAAUCCUCCUGCUUCAGCCUCUCAAAGUGCCAGGAUUACAGGUAUGAGCCACCAAGUCCUACCAGAAUUUGCAUUUUGGAGUAUGCACCAUUAAACAGUUUAACUCUUCAGUUGAUCUCUUUUUAAAAAUCAAUUGUUCAGCAUCUGUGGAAUCUGAUUGUGAUGUGGUCAGGGACAGAAUGGGACUAAAAUGAGAAUAACCAUGCCAGACUCUUCAGGACACAACCUGGCUAUGGGAGGCUGAUUGUGUUUGCAUGGAGACACUAACUCCAAGUGGAUGGAUGACACCACUGGGACACUGUUGCUCAUGGACCACAGACAGUGGCGCUGGGACACCAAUGCUCAGACUAUAGAUGGUGGUGAUGGGACACCAUUGCUCAUGGACUGCAGACAGUGCUACGAGGACACCGAUGCUCAUGGACUACAGAUGCUGCUCUGAAGUGCUCUGCACUUUACUUUUCUCUAGUUCAUUUCCAAACGGGCCAAUUUCAAAAUUAUAAUUGAAAAGAGUAACUUGAAAACAGAUACUCCCAGCCAUGCCCUUGCCUCAAGACAUCUGCCGUCUCCCUGGCCUCUGAGGCAGGGUGGGAAGACACCGCCACCCCAUUCCAUAGGUGAAGAGCUCUUUCAUGGGGUACAUGCGCAUCCCACUCCUUGCUCGGCUCAGCACAAGCUCAGCAUUGCCAGAGAGAAAAACUGGAAGACAGAGACAAACAAAACAACAACUGGUAGGUGGGUGCUUGUGAUAAGUUAAAGAUAGGAAACCAGGGAACGCUGUGGGCUGCCACCCCAGGGGCUUGGUCGCCACCAAGAGUGAAGGAGGAACAACAGGGAGAGGAUAUGCACCAGAGUCCCCAUCGCCAGCCUAAGCAGGAGCACAGGAGCAACAGCGUUUGAUGCUUUCCUACAAGAGGCUGAAGAAGGAAACAAGUUGCUGAGGUUUUGAAGAAUCGUGGGUCGCAUUUCCUUGGAUCAGCUAAGCCCCGAACAGAUCCCUAAAGCAACUGGGCUUCUGGUCCUAUUUCACCUUCAAAGAGAAUCAAUCCUACCCUUCCAUCCUGAACAGUCUUCUAGGCUCAAGCACUCUGAAUUUUCCUAUCGUGGCUGGAGCUAUCGAUUUGGUGCUAGUCUCACUCUCUUUGUCAACCUCUCUUGUGCAUUUAUUAAUACAAACUUAUUAUUUUUUCCUAACUUAGUUUUUAACGUGAUUACAUUCACAGAUUUUUUAAAAGUUGAUCUGCUCUUGAAUUCCUGGUUUUAUUCUAUGUAAUUAUCAGUAUUUUUUUUCAGAAAUGGUCUCUUUUUAUUUGAAUGGUUGAUCUAGGACUCAGCCUAAAUAUUAUUCUAAUACGUAGCUGUACAUAACCAACAUGUCUAUGAUGUUAGUGAUGAACCAGAACCAACACAGAGAUGGUCUUUGCCUGAUAAAAGAUAAUCACAAUCCGAAAUAAAAUUACUAGGUAAAAUACAGGAUGCCUAGUUAAAUUUGAGUAUCAGAUAAACAAUGAAACAUUUUUAGUUACAUGUCCCAUGUAAUAUUUGUACUAAAUACUUAUACUAAAUUGUAAAGGACAUACUUAUACUAAAUUGUAAAGGACAUCCUUAUACUAAAGGAAAGCAUUGCUUAUCUGAAAUUCACAUUUAACUGGUUGUCCUAUAUUUUUAUUUGUUAAAUGUGGCAAUCUUAAUCAUAAACAAAUAAGCAAACAAGUAUAAGUCUUAGAAAAGAAUAAAUCAAUUUUUAAAUGAAUGCAUUUAGUGUUGUCAGGGAAUAAUUACAAUAUGUCAGCAAACCUUGGCAACCAUUGGAAUCCCGUUUCUGAAAAUUACAGUGUAGUGUGAAGUAGAAAAUAACAACGAUGGUUUUAACUCAUAUGAAACAUAGAAAAAAUUCAGAAACAAACUAGAUUUAUUGGUUUUAAGGAAAAGAAGCCAGAACAACUACCAGAAUACUGUUCUGUUAGGUAACUCUUCUUUUAACCACCUUCUUUAAUUACUCAGGAAAUAUUUCUGUGUUUUCCUCAACAACUGGAGUAGAUUUUCCCAUGAGUUUUAUGUUACACAAAGUUUAGUUAUUUUUAAAGUUAUCAAAUCAGCUCUUACUGGCUUGAAGUUAAGUAUCCAUGGAACUUGUAUUUCCUUUGUUUUCCUUUCAAAUGUCUCCCCAAAAUGCUUGUAACUGUGUAUCCU
RNAcentral lists this long non-coding RNA (2371 nucleotides) under Homo sapiens (human). Its description in RNAcentral is "TMEM154 antisense RNA 1 (TMEM154-AS1)". The record is from RNAcentral. Lineage: Eukaryota; Metazoa; Chordata; Mammalia; Primates; Hominidae.